UGCAGAGGGUGCGAGCGUUGUCCGGAAUCACUGGGCGUAAAGGGCGCGUAGGCGGCUUGAUAAGGUUGCGGUGAAAGCCCGGGGCUCAACCCCGGGUCGGCCGUGGCAACUGUCGAGCUGGAGCACUGUAGAGGCAGGUGGAAUUCCGGGUGUAGCGGUGGAAUGCGUAGAGAUCCGGAAGAACACCGGUGGCGAAGGCGGCCUGCUGGGCAGUGGCUGACGCUGAGGCGCGACAGCGUGGGGAGCAAACAGG
Molecule: ribosomal RNA, 253 nt
Filed under: uncultured bacterium
Lineage: Bacteria
Description: partial 16S ribosomal RNA
Rfam family: Bacterial small subunit ribosomal RNA
Source: RNAcentral